This is a long non-coding RNA of Sapajus apella (tufted capuchin), 108 nucleotides long. RefSeq lists it as uncharacterized. NCBI's taxonomy places the organism in Eukaryota, Metazoa, Chordata, Mammalia, Primates, Cebidae. The transcript is spliced from 3 exons. The record is from RefSeq and is a predicted model, not a curated record.
AUUUAUUCUCUUUAAUAAUACCCAUUCUGACUGGGAUGAGAUGGUAUCUCAUUGUGGUUUUCCUUGGCAUUUAUCUGAUGAUCAGUGAUGCUGAGGAUAUUUUAUAUG